AUUUACACUGCUGUGAAUGUGAAGUGCUUCUGUUUCAGUACUGUAAUCAAUCUCUGAGGAAGACAAAGAAAAAAAAAUCCAUCCUCCUAAUUAUAUUUGAAACCUAGAGCCAAAGCUUGUGCACAGUAGUAGCGCAACCAAUCUUUAUGGGCUUCCACUGCCAAAAGGAAUCCUUGUACAUCCACCAUCACUACCGUAGUUCAUUUACAGUAAUGUCUGCCCUCAGUUAUGGGAGGUGCUGCUGCAAGAACCAGCCUAACAGAAACAGCAUUCUGGAACAGAAUGGACAAAGCCAGGUGGGCACAGCAUGGAUUGCUUCAGCCUCCGUUGGUCCCAGGAUCAGAGAAAACAACAAGGGCAGUCCAAGUGUGAAAACACAACCACAAAUACAAGAGAUUGCAUGCUUCCACGGUCUGCAUGCAGACUGACUCUAGGUGGCAUACUUGCUAAGGAACAUAUUGAAUUUUCCUGGUGUUACCAAGGUAGGAGACAAUCUUUUAUUUUUUUUUCCACCACAUGAAAACUGCAGUUAAUUUAGCACUGUUAGGAAUAAAAGUUUUAGUUUGAUUCUAUCUCA
Numida meleagris (helmeted guineafowl) is the source of this 577-nucleotide long non-coding RNA. The record is from Ensembl. Lineage: Eukaryota; Metazoa; Chordata; Aves; Galliformes; Numididae.